CGGGUCCCUCACGGGUCUGCCCGCGACCGGGCUGCAACCUGCGGCCGCCGAGAUACCGCGGCCCUGCUUCAGCGCAGCCAGCAGGGAGCGGCCCGGGAAGCAGGCGGAAAGAAGUCACUCCCUUUCUAAAAGGUGGUGUCCCCCUCCGGCUUUCGUGAGCUCCUCAGUGCCCACACCUGAACGAGGCUUAGUGAUCCUUGCCCUUGCUUCACCUUGACUCGGUUUGAAUUGGAGGGGCAAUACAAGCGUUUGAAUUGACAUAAGCAGCGCACUGUGUCUGUCGCGUACCCCCGCCCCCAGCAAUACACCCACAGUGGGUGAGUGAAAGUGCAGUCCACAUUUCAGGAUUUUUCCUGGACCCUUCCUCCAGUCUGCUGCUCAUCUUGUCAUCGCCCAUGAAACUCAUUUCUUGUGUGAGAAAAAUGAGCUGGGCUGAGUACAGCCUGUGAAGGAACACUUGACACUUGGAAGAAACCCAGCAAAUGGCAUGAGAAAGGCUGUUGGGACACCUAUGAUCCUGUGAGCAUGGCUGAACCAUUACAUCAUCUGGGACUUUGUGACCUUGCAAAAUGUUCUGCUUGCAUGAGGAAGGUGCCAUUAAAUUCAAACCAAGAUACCAUAAGAGAAGCCAGAAAACAAGCUGAAUAAAACCUUCCUAAAUUGGACCAAUAUUAUUCCCAUUUACGCCCUAAAAAUCAACAUGAAUGAAGCAGGAAGCAAAAAUAAGCUACCAAUGGUAAUAAUUCUAAGUGAGUAAUCUGUUUGCUUUAGUUUUCUAUAUCCACCCAUUUUCCUUGUUUUUCAUUUGCUUCCACUUUGUAUCCAAUUUAUGGCAGGAACACAUACAAGUGUACUACUACAUCCCGGUUCCACAGCAUUGACUGAUCUUGCCAGUACUUGUCUUGCAAAACAGCAAAAAGCAUCUGGAACAGGCCAUCAGUUGCACCUGCAAUUCACUUUUAACCCAUGAUAUGUCUUACUGAGUCAGUAAACACUUGUGAAAUUAUAUUUUUCCAUGGAAGGAGGCGAUACUUUGCAAAGACAGCAGGGCACAAAGAUGUAUGAUAUUUUUCAAGGGAUAAACAUAGGUCCCCCAAAUGAUAUAAGAAUGAUGUUUUCCUCAAUGAAAUAAUCUUACAGCGCUCUUUUAGUGAAAUAGCUCUUUCUGGAGUAUUUUGUGGAAUACUUAGGUUAGGGAGCAAAAUCACAAUUCUUCUUUCUUAGAAGUGAAAAAGCAAACAGCAACCAUUUCAAUAAAAUUAUUCAAUGUUCAAAAUGUUCAAUCUAGCAACUAAAAGAGCCCCAGGGACUCUGCACCUUGGGCAGUGGUACAGCCAGGCAUCCAGGCUUGAGUGGGAAUCCAUGAUUCUUGCCUACACCCCUGGGUAAAGUGGAAGGAAGUAGCAAUAUGAGCUGAAAUUAGAAAUAGUUUCCCUAAAAAGCAAGGUCCUUGUUCAGGCUGGUCAAAUAUUUGCUAUCAAAGCUGUUCUUGAAUGGCAGAUUACUCUCAUAAACUGGUUGGCUGUUUUGAGGAUUUUUCCUUAAAUUUCUGUCUUAUCCUUAGAAAACUGAGUUUUCAUUAUUUCCAAAAAAGAAACCCCAA
Catharus ustulatus (Swainson's thrush) is the source of this 1603-nucleotide long non-coding RNA. RefSeq lists it as uncharacterized. The transcript is spliced from 4 exons. The record is from RefSeq and is a predicted model, not a curated record. NCBI's taxonomy places the organism in Eukaryota, Metazoa, Chordata, Aves, Passeriformes, Turdidae.